GCACUGCUGAUGAGACCCAAGCAGGUCGAAAUAGCUGUGCAGUGC
This 45-nucleotide non-coding RNA is filed under the name Echinostoma caproni. Lineage: Eukaryota; Metazoa; Platyhelminthes; Trematoda; Plagiorchiida; Echinostomatidae. The record is from RNAcentral.